UUUGACGUGCUCGAUCUGCUC
RNAcentral lists this microRNA (21 nucleotides) under Arabidopsis thaliana (thale cress). Its description in RNAcentral is "ath-miR3932b-5p". Lineage: Eukaryota; Viridiplantae; Streptophyta; Magnoliopsida; Brassicales; Brassicaceae. The record is from miRBase by way of RNAcentral.